GGGCCCCGCACAAGCGGCGGAGCAUGCGGAUUAAUUCGAUGCAACGCGAAGAACCUUACCAAGGCUUGACAUGCAGGGAAAUCUCACAGAAAUGUGAGGUCCGCAAGGGUCCUGCGCAGGUGGUGCAUGGUUGUCGUCAGCUCGUGUCGUGAGAUGUUGGGUUAAGUCCCGCAACGAGCGCAACCCUCGUUCUAUGUUGCCAGCGGAUAAUGCCGGGGACUCAUAGGAGACUGCCGGGGUCAACUCGGAGGAAGGUGGGGAUGACGUCAAAUCAUCAUGCCCCUUAUGUCUUGGGCUUCACGCAUGCUACAAUGGCCAGUACAAAGGGCUGCGAGACCGCAAGGUGGAGCGAAUCCCAAAAAGCUGGUCUCAGUUCGGAUUGGGGUCUGCAACUCGACCCCAUGAAGUCGGAGUCGCUAGUAAUCGCAGAUCAGCAACGCUGCGGUGAAUACGUUCCCGGGGCUU
This 465-nucleotide ribosomal RNA is filed under the name uncultured Quadrisphaera sp. RNAcentral describes it as "bacterial SSU rRNA". It matches the Rfam family "Bacterial small subunit ribosomal RNA", at positions 916 to 1382 of the family's 1533-position model. The record is from RNAcentral. Lineage: Bacteria; Bacillati; Actinomycetota; Actinomycetes; Kineosporiales; Kineosporiaceae.